AACGAACGCUGGCGGCGGGCCUCAUACAUGCAAGUCGAGCGCGAAAGUCCGCAAGGAUGAGUAAAGCGGCGCACGGGUGAGUAACACGUGGAUAAUCUACCCUUUGGAUUGGAAUAACCUGUCGAAAGACGGGCUAAUGCCGAGUAAGCUUACGAGUUCGUGAAGUUCUUGUAAGGAAAGAUGGCGCAAGCUAUCGCCGAUGGAUGAGUCUGCGUCCCAUUAGUUAGUUGGUGGGGUAAUGGCUUACCAAGACUAUGAUGGGUACCUGGUCUGAGAGGAUGACCAGGCACACUGGAACUGAAACACGGUCCAGACUCCUACGGGAGGCAGCAGUAGGGAAUAUUGCGCAAUGGACGAAAGUCUGACGCAGCCACGCCACGUGAGUGAGGAAGGCCUU
RNAcentral lists this ribosomal RNA (397 nucleotides) under uncultured bacterium. RNAcentral describes it as "bacterial SSU rRNA". It matches the Rfam family "Bacterial small subunit ribosomal RNA", at positions 29 to 418 of the family's 1533-position model. The record is from RNAcentral.